This 301-nucleotide ribosomal RNA is filed under the name uncultured bacterium. Its description in RNAcentral is "partial 16S ribosomal RNA". It matches the Rfam family "Bacterial small subunit ribosomal RNA", at positions 509 to 807 of the family's 1533-position model. The record is from RNAcentral.
CAGUCGCCACGGUAAAACGUAGGUGGCAAGCGUUGUCCGGAAUUAUUGGGCGUAAAGGGCUCGCAGGCGGUUUCUUAAGUCUGAUGUGAAAGCCCCCGGCUCAACCGGGGAGGGUCAUUGGAAACUGGGAAACUUGAGUGCAGAAGAGGAGAGUGGAAUUCCACGUGUAGCGGUGAAAUGCGUAGAGAUGUGGAGGAACACCAGUGGCGAAGGCGACUCUCUGGUCUGUAACUGACGCUGAGGAGCGAAAGCGUGGGGAGCGAACAGGAUUAGAUACCCCUGUAGUCCCUGUCUCUUAUAC